CUUCCGUGUAGAAAAGGAGCCCCGACUUAGGGCUGAGAGGGGAUUUUGGGGGGGACUCUACUCUGCCGUCUUCUGGGUCUGCUAGCUUUCCGAUUACAAUCGUUAUUCCUUGUUCAAACAUCGUCUCCCAAUUUACUGGCCUGUCGUGGGAUUGGACACUCCUGAGAGCAAACACUCCAUCAAGUCCAUGACUCCAUAUCCUGUGAUGAGGAAAACUGAGGCCUAGAAAUUUGAAGUAACCUCCAGACUCACCCGACCAGCAAGAGGUGACAGUGGCGUCAGACCUCCGUCUCUUUGCCCUCACAACCUGAACUCUUUUUUUUUUUUCCUCACAGCCUGAACUC
This is a long non-coding RNA of Odocoileus virginianus texanus, 344 nucleotides long. RefSeq lists it as uncharacterized. The record is from RefSeq and is a predicted model, not a curated record. NCBI's taxonomy places the organism in Eukaryota, Metazoa, Chordata, Mammalia, Artiodactyla, Cervidae.